UGUUCUCCGCCAUUAAACACCGAUAAUAAAAAAAAGAGAAGGAGUCAGAAAAGGUUCAGACAUGUGGUGUCUGACAUGGCAGUUUGUUUUUCCUCUUUGCUGACAUGAGGUCAUUUUCAGCUCCAGCGUCACUGGAUUAUCUGCUGUCAUCGGGUUGAGAACAAAUAGAUUUGGAGCAGAGAUGCUCAUUCCUUCUCCUUUUCCUCUUCCUUCUUUUCCUUCACCUCCUGUAUUUUCCUGCUGCUAAUGCAAUUCCUCAUGGAAAUUGUAGCUUUUGAAUUUAACUUCCCCGGUGAUUUAAAGGUGGCAGAGCUUUUCUGCUGCAGUCAGCUAAACUCUACUGUACAAACUUACAGUUCAGGAUCUGAGUCACCAGAGACUUUAUUAGGUUGCAAAACCACAAAGGCUGAGCUAAAGAGAGACAAUUUAGCUCCAUAAAUACAGUUUACACAGGCCAAGUGAGAAAACACCACAGUUUCUCUUAAAUGUUUUGGACAUUCAGACAUCCAGAACACCAGAAACAUAUCAGGUCAGCUCCGACCUGUGGGAGAUUUACAGCAGAGUAAUGUUGAAUGCAUCAUGUUCUACAGAAAUCUUGUAAAAUCAUUUUCUCAGACCUAGACACAGCAGCUCCCUGGUGGGAUGGAGCAUGUUAUGAUAAAAACAUCAGCAGAUACCGUGUUUUUAGGAUGUUCAUGUUUUUACCAGCUCACUCAGAAGUAGUAUUAGGCUAAUUAGCUGUUGGCUAACGUUAUUUUGGCAUAUCUAGACCUUUGGCUGCAUAUUUGACGCAUUUCCUACAAAUAUUGAAAUACUUUUUGGCUAACUUUGAGCUUUUGUUUGUUGACUUUCACUUAUCCUUAAGUGUUUUUGGCUAACUCAAGCUCUUUGUGGCUGUAAGUGUGGUGUUUGUGUUUUGUUUGUUUUGCUGCUGCGUGUCUUUUCUCCACAGCUGCACUGAAGCUGGAGCUGAUGAGCCAGAGCACUGCUGGGCGUUGUCUUUGUUUGGAGGCAGUGCAGCACUUUAGCUCCAGCUCCAUGAGAAGCCUCUUACCUGGCUCAGUGAACAGAGGACCCAAACUCCAGGCCCUGGUGCCACUUCUGCCCUGUAAACCCUGCACUUUUGGACUGUCCUUAAGCAGAUCUACAGCAUCAAGCAUGUGGUUCCACUAGGGCAGUGAUUCCCAACAACUGCCCACACUAGUGUACCGUGAGAGAUCAUUAGUGUGAAAGGCAGGACAAUUAAAUACUUGUCUGCUAGGUGGCAGCAGAUGGCUAUCAAAACAAACCAAAAAAUCAGCUGUUGAAGAAGAUCUUUAACUGUGGCACCUGCUUUGAAGAGGGAAGAUGGAAAUGCGAAGGAUUAACAUAAAGAUUCUGAAAAAAAUAAAGCCCAGGCAGCUGCAGCCGCCCACGGAAAAAUGUGGAAAAAGAAAGGUAAAAGAAAAAAAGGAAGUGCAGAAAAUGUCAACAGUCUGUCAGCACAAAAACUGAAAAGGGGGAAGAAGAUGUGAGGAUCCUUUUUUGACUCAGUGGGAACAUUCAGGAUGUGGAAGGAACUAAAACAAGACUCUGCCUUAUGAUAAGCCAGUUCGAUUUUUAUACCAGGAGCCAGGACUGUAAGAGUGAUGGUUCUGCUCAAUAUUUUAAAAAAAGCUCACAGAAAAAUGGCUAAAGAUAACACAAAAAAGAAAGGAAACAUGUCAAUAAAUGUUAGAGAAUAGUCAAAAAUAGUUGAGAGUUUGUGACUGAAGCCCCCCCCAAAAAACAGUAGCCAUAGCUACAAGAAAAGAAGUGCAAAUAAUCAAUAAUUAGUGUUAUUUAGACGUGUUUUAAAAUAAAUAAAAAAUAUGAA
This is a long non-coding RNA of Cynoglossus semilaevis (tongue sole), 1855 nucleotides long. RefSeq lists it as uncharacterized. The transcript is spliced from 5 exons. Lineage: Eukaryota; Metazoa; Chordata; Actinopteri; Pleuronectiformes; Cynoglossidae. The record is from RefSeq and is a predicted model, not a curated record.